RNAcentral lists this ribosomal RNA (252 nucleotides) under Negativibacillus massiliensis. RNAcentral's name for it is "partial 16S ribosomal RNA". It matches the Rfam family "Bacterial small subunit ribosomal RNA", at positions 524 to 776 of the family's 1533-position model. The record is from RNAcentral. Lineage: Bacteria; Bacillati; Bacillota.
UACGUAGGUGGCAAGCGUUGUCCGGAAUUACUGGGUGUAAAGGGAGCGUAGGCGGGGAGGCAAGUUGAAUGUUUAAACUAUCGGCUCAACUGAUAGUCGCGUUCAAAACUGCCACUCUUGAGUGCAGUAGAGGUAGGCGGAAUUCCUAGUGUAGCGGUGAAAUGCGUAGAUAUUAGGAGGAACACCAGUGGCGAAGGCGGCCUACUGGGCUGUAACUGACGCUGAGGCUCGAAAGCGUGGGUAGCAAACAGG